GAUGAACGCUGGCGGCGUGCCUAAUACAUGCAAGUCGAGCGAACGGACGAGAAGCUUGCUUCUCUGAUGUUAGCGGCGGACGGGUGAGUAACACGUGGAUAACCUACCUAUAAGACUGGGAGAACUUCGGGAAACCGGAGCUAAUACCGGAUAAUAUUUUGAACCGCAUGGUUCAAAAGUGAAAGACGGUCUUGCUGUCACUUAUAGAUGGAUCCGCGCUGCAUUAGCUAGUUGGUAAGGUAACGGCUUACCAAGGCAACGAUGCAUAGCCGACCUGAGAGGAUGAUCGGCCACACUGGAACUGAGACACGGUCCAGACUCCUACGGGAGGCAGCAGUAGGGAAUCUUCCGCAAUGGGCGAAAGCCUGACGGAGCAACGCCGCGUGAGUGAUGAAGGUCUUCGGAUCGUAAAACUCUGUUAUUAGGGAAGAACAUAUGUGUAAGUAACUGUGCACAUCUUGACGGUACCUAAUCAGAAAGCCCCGGCUAACUACGUG
RNAcentral lists this ribosomal RNA (497 nucleotides) under uncultured bacterium. RNAcentral describes it as "partial 16S ribosomal RNA". It matches the Rfam family "Bacterial small subunit ribosomal RNA", at positions 28 to 507 of the family's 1533-position model. The record is from RNAcentral.